Molecule: transfer-messenger RNA, 278 nt
Filed under: Candidatus Omnitrophota bacterium
Lineage: Bacteria; Pseudomonadati; Candidatus Omnitrophota
Description: partial transfer-messenger RNA
Rfam family: transfer-messenger RNA
About the family: Bacterial tmRNA, also known as 10Sa RNA or SsrA, is named for its dual tRNA and mRNA-like properties.
Source: RNAcentral
GGGGGUGACUGGCCUCGACUUGUGUUGUCAGUGGGUAAGUGGCAUGCCGCGGACGCUUGGUUGGCCGCGUUAACAAUCCGAGCACAAAUUACACGCUAACGAUGAAACGUUAACGUUCGAUGGUGUUAUGGCUCAAUUCGCCAAGACAGCUCCGGCUGUUCCGGUGAUGCCAGUCAUGGCUCCUUCGGCUGCGUUGGCUAUCUAAAAUAGCCAAUCCCUCUAACCUGAUGUGCCUGUUGUCGGGCUAAGAGGUCAUUCACAGGCUGGUUUUGAUGCGA